Molecule: ribosomal RNA, 253 nt
Filed under: uncultured bacterium
Lineage: Bacteria
Description: partial 16S ribosomal RNA
Rfam family: Bacterial small subunit ribosomal RNA
Source: RNAcentral
UACGUAGGCAGCAAGCGUUGUUCGGAGUUACUGGGCGUAAAGAGUAUGUAGGCGGUUGCGUAAGUUCGGUGUGAAAUCUCCCGGCUUAACUGGGAGGGUGCGCCGAAAACUGCGUGGCUUGAGUGCGGGAGAGGAGAGCGGAAUUCCUGGUGUAGCGGUGAAAUGCGUAGAUAUCAGGAGGAACACCGAUGGCGAAGGCAGGUCUCUGGGCUGACACUGACGCUCAUGCACGAAAGCGUGGGGAGCAAACAGG